RNAcentral lists this transfer RNA (73 nucleotides) under Candidatus Omnitrophota bacterium. Its description in RNAcentral is "Candidatus Omnitrophica bacterium tRNA-Ala". It matches the Rfam family "tRNA". From Rfam's summary of the family: Transfer RNA (tRNA) molecules are approximately 80 nucleotides in length. Their secondary structure includes four short double-helical elements and three loops (D, anti-codon, and T loops). Further hydrogen bonds mediate the characteristic L-shaped molecular structure. tRNAs have two regions of fundamental functional importance: the anti-codon, which is responsible for specific mRNA codon recognition, and the 3' end, to which the tRNAs corresponding amino acid is attached (by aminoacyl-tRNA synthetases). tRNAs cope with the degeneracy of the genetic code in two manners: having more than one tRNA (with a specific anti-codon) for a particular amino acid; and 'wobble' base-pairing, i.e. permitting non-standard base-pairing at the 3rd anti-codon position. Lineage: Bacteria; Pseudomonadati; Candidatus Omnitrophota. The record is from RNAcentral.
GGGGGUGUAGCUCAGCUGGGAGAGCAUCACAAUGGCAUUGUGAGGGUCAGGGGUUCGAAUCCCCUCACCUCCA